This 274-nucleotide ribosomal RNA is filed under the name Panthera uncia (snow leopard). RNAcentral's name for it is "partial large subunit ribosomal RNA". The record is from RNAcentral. Lineage: Eukaryota; Metazoa; Chordata; Mammalia; Carnivora; Felidae.
AGAGGCGGGAUAUGACAAUAAGACGAGAAGACCCUAUGGAGCUUUAAUAACCAGCCCAAAGAGAUCUUAAUAACCAACCGACAGGGUAUAACAAACCUCUACCAUGGGCUGACAAUUUAGGUUGGGGUGACCUCGGAGAAUAAAACAACCUCCGAGUGAUUUAAAUCUAGACUAACCAGUCGAAAGUAUUACAUCACUUAUUGAUCCAAAGAGUUAAUCAACGGAACAAGUUACCCUAGGGAUAACAGCGCAAUCCUAUUUCAGAGUCCAUAUC